RNAcentral lists this ribosomal RNA (1770 nucleotides) under Celleporina sp. HYL-2002. Its description in RNAcentral is "SSU rRNA". It matches the Rfam family "Eukaryotic small subunit ribosomal RNA". The record is from RNAcentral. Lineage: Eukaryota; Metazoa; Bryozoa; Gymnolaemata; Cheilostomatida; Celleporidae.
GCUUGUCUCAAAGAUUAAGCCUGCAUGUCUAAGUACAAGCCGUCUUACGGUGAAACCGCGAAUGGCUCAUUAAAUCAGGUAUGGAUCCUUAUAUCGUCCGAUUCCGCCUGGUAUACCGGGGAUUUUUUAGCUGAUAUAUUCUCCAAAACAGCGACCUUCCCGGAAUGGCGGCUUUAUUAGGUCGAACCUUCGUGCGUAUUUGGCGAGCGUAAGAGGAUGAUACCCCAGUAAUCAUCGCCUAUCGCACUGGCUUUGCGCCGACGACGUAUCCUUCAAAUGUCUGCCUUAUCAACUUGUUGGUUGUUUAAUGGACAACCAAGGUGGUAACGGGAUAACAGAGAAUCAGGUUCGAUACCGGAGAGGGAGCACGAGAAACGGCUACCACAUCUAAGGAAGGCAGCAGGCGCGCAAAUUACCCACUCCCGGCACGGGGAGGUAGUGACGAAAAAUAACAAUACGGGACUUUUUAUGGCCCCGUAAUUGGAAUGAGUACACUUUAAAACCNUUAACGAGGACCAAUUGGAGGGCAAGUCUGGUGCCAGCAGCCGCGGUAAUUCCAGCUCCAAUAGCGUUAUAUUAAAGUUGCNGUUAAAAAGCUCGUAGUUGGAUCUGAGGAGUACAGAGGAGAUGCUUUUCGACUCAACAAUGGACUGGUCGUACUGACGGAUCUCGCGNUGUGCCCUUAGGUGGAUGUNUCAGGUGGGCGGAGGGGUUUCCUUUGAAAAAAUUAGAAUUUUCAAANCGGGCAGGUGCCUGAAUAUGGUGCAUGGAUGAUNAAUAGGCCCCCCCGUUCAAGGUUGUUGGUUUUCGGAGCUUAAGGUAAUGAUUAAUAGGGACAGCCGGGGCAUUCGUAUUGCGGGGUUAGAGGUNAAAUUCUUGUCGUCGCAAGACGAACUAUUGCGAAAGCAUUUGCCAAGAAUGUUUUCAUUAAAUCAAGAACGAUCAAGAAGUGCGAAAGCGAUCAGAUACCGCCCUAGUUCUGACCAUAAACGAUGCCAACUGGCGAUUCGUCGCAGUUAUAUAAAAGAUCCCGCCAGCAGUAUUUGCGAAAACAAAAAUUUUGUGUUCCUCCGGAAGUAUUAUUGUUAAGAUGCAACCUAUAAGAGUAGCCGGAAGGGCGCCACCACCAGUGGAGCCUCCGGCUUAUUAUGACUCAACACGGGGAAACUCACCAGGCCCCGAACACUGUUAUUACAGACAGGUUGAGAGUUUUCUCGAUUCAGUGGUUGGUGGUGCAUGGCCGUUCUUAGUUCGUGGAGCGAUCUGUCUGGUUAAUUCCGAUAACGAACGAGACUCUUGCCUGCUAAAUAGACGGCGCCGUUCCUAUCCUGCGACCGCUCGCUUCUAAAGGGACCAAGAAGCUUAAAGGCCGCAUAUGAAGCAGAGAGCAAUAACAGGUCUGUGAUGCUCAGAACAAUUAAAGGCCCCACGCGUUUUACACUGUUUGCAUCAUCAGCGUGUUUCUCCCGCGCCGCCGAUCGGCCGCGGGCAACCCGUUGAACCGCAAACGUGCUAGGGAUCGGAGAUUGCAAUUGUUCUCCGUCAACGAGGAAUUCCUUCUACUGGCGAGUCAUCAGCUCGCGGGGAAUCUGUCCCUGCCCUUUGUACACACCGCCCGUCGCUACUACCGAUUGAGUGGUUUAGUGAGGCUCACGGACUGUGAGCUGGUCAGGCGGCUUCGGCCGUCACAGCCAAUUAACGGAAAAUGUAACAAACUUUAUUACUUCUAAGAAGGUAAAACUCCAACUAGGGUUUUCCUAAUAUAAACCU